CUAACAAGGAUUCCCCUAGUAACUGCGAGUGAAGCGGGAAAAGCUCAAAUUUGAAAUCUGGCAGUCUUUUUUUUCUUCUUUGGCUGUCCGAGUUGUAAUCUAGAGAAGUGCUUACCUGCACUGGACCAUGUAUAAGUCUCCUGGAAUGGAGCGUCACAGAGGGUGAGAAUCCCGUCUUUGACAUGGACCGCCAGUGUGUUGUGGUGUGCUCUCAAAGAGUCGAGUUGUUUGGGAAUGCAGCUCUAAAUGGGUGGUAAACUCCAUCUAAAGCUAAAUAUUGGCGAGAGACCGAUAGCGAACAAGUACCGUGAGGGAAAGAUGAAAAGGACUUUGGAAAGAGAGUUAAACAGUAUGUGAAAUUGUUGAAAGGGAAACGCUUGAAGUCAGUUAUGUUGGCUAGGGAUCAACCUAGCUGUUUUUUGCUGGGUGAAUUUCCUAGUCUGACAGGCCAACAUCAGUCUUGACUGCUGGAAAAGAGCAGAGGGAAUGUGGCACCUUUGGGUGUGUUAUAGCCUUUUGUCAUAUGUGGCAGUUGGGACUGAGGGAUGCAGCAUGCCGCGAGGCUGGGUUUCUGACCACGUUCAUGCUCAGGAUGUUGGCUUUUAAUGGCUUCAAUCGACCCGUCUUGAAACACGGACCAAGGAGUCUAACAUGCCUGCGAGUGUUUGGGUGGGGAAAACCCUUGUGCACAAUGAAAGUGAAAGUUGAGAUCCCUGUCAUGGGGAGCAUCGACGCCCGGACCUGAGCUUUUAGCGACGGAUCCGCGGUAGAGCAUGCAUGUUGGGACCCGAAAGAUGGUGAACUAUGCCUGAAUAGGGCAAAGCCAGAGGAAACUCUGGUGGAGGCUCGUAGCGAUUCUGACGUGCAA
This 868-nucleotide ribosomal RNA is filed under the name Amanita brunneofuliginea. RNAcentral describes it as "eukaryotic LSU rRNA". It matches the Rfam family "Eukaryotic large subunit ribosomal RNA", at positions 65 to 896 of the family's 3401-position model. Lineage: Eukaryota; Fungi; Basidiomycota; Agaricomycetes; Agaricales; Amanitaceae. The record is from RNAcentral.